CGAAGGGGGCGAGCGUUGUUCGGAUUUACUGGGCGUAAAGGGCGCGUAGGCGGCCAUCUUUGUCAGGCGUGAAAGCCCCGGGCUCAACCUGGGAACUGCGUCUGGGACGGGGUGGCUAGAGAUCGGGAGAGGGAGCGUGGAAUUCCCAGUGUAGAGGUGAAAUUCGUAGAUAUUGGGAAGAACACCGGUGGCGAAGGCGGCGCUCUGGACCAAGACUGACGCUGAGGCGCGAAAGCGUGGGGAGCAAACAGGAUUAGAUACCCUGGUAGUCCACGCUGUAAACGAUGUGUGCUAGACGUUGGGGAGCCUAGCUCUUCGGUGUCGCAGCUAACGCUUUAAGCACACCGCCUGGGGAGUACGGCCGCAAGGUUA
This 372-nucleotide ribosomal RNA is filed under the name uncultured organism. RNAcentral describes it as "bacterial SSU rRNA". It matches the Rfam family "Bacterial small subunit ribosomal RNA", at positions 526 to 896 of the family's 1533-position model. The record is from RNAcentral.